RNAcentral lists this ribosomal RNA (908 nucleotides) under Alternaria infectoria. RNAcentral describes it as "eukaryotic LSU rRNA". The stretch from base 666 to 908 matches the Rfam family "Eukaryotic large subunit ribosomal RNA", at positions 1 to 239 of the family's 3401-position model. The record is from RNAcentral. Lineage: Eukaryota; Fungi; Ascomycota; Dothideomycetes; Pleosporales; Pleosporaceae.
CUCUACCGAUUGAUGGCUCAGUGAGGCGUUUGGACUGGCUCGGGGAGGUUGGCAACGACCACCCCAAGCCGGAAAGUUCUCCAAACUCGGUCAUUUAGAGGAAGUAAAAGUCGUAACAAGGUCUCCGUAGGUGAACCUGCGGAGGGAUCAUUACACAAUAACAAGGCGGGUUGGACACCCCCCGCUGGGCACUGCUUCACGGCGUGCGCGGCGGGGCCGGCCCUGCUGAAUUAUUCACCCGUGUCUUUUGCGUACUUCUUGUUUCCUGGGUGGGCUCGCCCGCCCUCAGGACCAACCACAAACCUUUUGCAAUAGCAAUCAGCGUCAGUAACAACGUAAUUAAUUACAACUUUCAACAACGGAUCUCUUGGUUCUGGCAUCGAUGAAGAACGCAGCGAAAUGCGAUACGUAGUGUGAAUUGCAGAAUUCAGUGAAUCAUCGAAUCUUUGAACGCACAUUGCGCCCUUUGGUAUUCCAAAGGGCAUGCCUGUUCGAGCGUCAUUUGUACCCUCAAGCUUUGCUUGGUGUUGGGCGUCUUUUGUCUCCAGUUCGCUGGAGACUCGCCUUAAAGUCAUUGGCAGCCGGCCUACUGGUUUCGGAGCGCAGCACAAGUCGCGCUCUUCGCCAGCCAAGGUCAGCGUCCAGCAAGCCUUUUUUUCAACCUUUGACCUCGGAUCAGGUAGGGAUACCCGCUGAACUUAAGCAUAUCAAUAAGCGGAGGCACAAGAAACCAACCGGGAUUGCCCUAGUAACGGCGAGUGAAGCGGCAACAGCUCAAAUUUGAAAUCUGGCUCUUUUAGAGUCCGAGUUGUAAUUUGCAGAGGGCGCUUUGGCUUUGGCAGCGGUCCAAGUUCCUUGAAACAGGACGUCACAGAGGGUGAGAAAUCCCGUACGUGGUCGCUGGCUAU